This 450-nucleotide ribosomal RNA is filed under the name uncultured bacterium. RNAcentral's name for it is "bacterial SSU rRNA". It matches the Rfam family "Bacterial small subunit ribosomal RNA", at positions 354 to 796 of the family's 1533-position model. The record is from RNAcentral.
GUGGGGAAUUUUUCGCAAUGGGCGCAAGCCUGACGAAGCAACGCCGCGUGGAGGAUGAAGGUCUUCGGAUUGUAAACUCCUGUCGACCGGGACGAAUGCACCCAACCUAAUACGUUGAAGUGUUGACGGUACCGGUGGAGGAAGCCACGGCUAACUCUGUGCCAGCAGCCGCGGUAAUACAGAGGUGGCAAGCGUUGUUCGGAAUUACUGGGCGUAAAGGGCGCGUAGGCGGCCCUAUAAGUCUCGUGUGAAAGCCCUCGGCUUAACUGAGGAUCUGCACGGGAUACUGUAGGGCUCGAGUUCGGGAGAGGAAAGCGGAAUUCCGGGUGUAGCGGUGAAAUGCGUAGAUAUCCGGAGGAACACCAGUGGCGAAGGCGGCUUUCUGGACCGACACUGACGCUGAGGCGCGAAAGCUAGGGGAGCAAACGGGAUUAGAUACCCUUGUAGUCC